AUGAACAACAAUGGAAAUAAAAUAAUGGGAGACUCAUUGGACAACAAUGAAGAAAAAAUAAUGGAAGACUCAUUGAACAACAACAAAGAGGAAGUACUGGAAGACUCCUUGAACAAUAAUGAAGAAAAAAGAGAAAGACCAAUAUUGAAUUUUGAUUUAAAUGAAGAGGCUGAAUAUGAAUUUGAUUUGAAUAAAUUUCCAGAAGAAUGGGAAGAGUCUUCUCAAGCUCGGGAGGAGUUUCGUCCCUUGAUUAAAUAG
Molecule: non-coding RNA, 258 nt
Organism: Vicia faba (fava bean)
Lineage: Eukaryota; Viridiplantae; Streptophyta; Magnoliopsida; Fabales; Fabaceae
Source: the annotation of a GenBank genome assembly